UAACCCCGGGCCGCAAAAUGGCCGAGGUUUUUGGCCAUUUUAGGCAUCAACCAAUGCCUCAUUCUGUAGUAGUGUUAGAUUCUAAUUCCUCUAAAAUCAAGGGAUCCAAACAGGCCCUCAGUAUAUUUCAUUAGCGCAUGCAUACAUGUACAUACGUAUAUGGGUGCUAUUGAUAAUCAUGUAGCAAUAUUGCAUUAGGAGG
This 202-nucleotide long non-coding RNA is filed under the name Sorghum bicolor (sorghum). Its description in RNAcentral is "long non-coding RNA (SBIC_LNC001945)". The record is from RNAcentral. Lineage: Eukaryota; Viridiplantae; Streptophyta; Magnoliopsida; Poales; Poaceae.